This 345-nucleotide ribosomal RNA is filed under the name Clostridium botulinum. RNAcentral's name for it is "bacterial SSU rRNA". It matches the Rfam family "Bacterial small subunit ribosomal RNA", at positions 1 to 343 of the family's 1533-position model. Lineage: Bacteria; Bacillati; Bacillota; Clostridia; Eubacteriales; Clostridiaceae. The record is from RNAcentral.
UUUAAAUUUAGAGUUUGAUCCUGGCUCAGGACGAACGCUGGCGGCGUGCUUAACACAUGCAAGUCGAGCGAUGAAGCUUCCUUCGGGAAGUGGAUUAGCGGCGGACGGGUGAGUAACACGUGGGUAACCUGCCUCAAAGUGGGGGAUAGCCUUCCGAAAGGAAGAUUAAUACCGCAUAAUAUAGGAGAAUCGCAUGAUUUUCUUAUCAAAGAUUUAUUGCUUUGAGAUGGACCCGCGGCGCAUUAGCUAGUUGGUAAGGUAACGGCUUACCAAGGCAACGAUGCGUAGCCGACCUGAGAGGGUGAUCGGCCACAUUGGAACUGAGACACGGUCCAGACUCCUACG